GUUGAUCAUUUGAAGUCACUACCU
This 24-nucleotide non-coding RNA is filed under the name Arabidopsis thaliana (thale cress). Lineage: Eukaryota; Viridiplantae; Streptophyta; Magnoliopsida; Brassicales; Brassicaceae. The record is from RNAcentral.